RNAcentral lists this transfer RNA (77 nucleotides) under Aminobacter sp. J15. RNAcentral's name for it is "tRNA-Thr". It matches the Rfam family "tRNA". From Rfam's summary of the family: Transfer RNA (tRNA) molecules are approximately 80 nucleotides in length. Their secondary structure includes four short double-helical elements and three loops (D, anti-codon, and T loops). Further hydrogen bonds mediate the characteristic L-shaped molecular structure. tRNAs have two regions of fundamental functional importance: the anti-codon, which is responsible for specific mRNA codon recognition, and the 3' end, to which the tRNAs corresponding amino acid is attached (by aminoacyl-tRNA synthetases). tRNAs cope with the degeneracy of the genetic code in two manners: having more than one tRNA (with a specific anti-codon) for a particular amino acid; and 'wobble' base-pairing, i.e. permitting non-standard base-pairing at the 3rd anti-codon position. RNAcentral also lists the same sequence under 1 other name. Lineage: Bacteria; Pseudomonadati; Pseudomonadota; Alphaproteobacteria; Hyphomicrobiales; Phyllobacteriaceae. The record is from RNAcentral.
GGACCGGUAGCUCAGCGGCAGAGCAGGCGAGUUGUAAUCGUCAGCGCGGAAGGUUCAACUCCUUCCCUGGUCCUCCA